Bos taurus (domestic cattle) is the source of this 1183-nucleotide long non-coding RNA. Lineage: Eukaryota; Metazoa; Chordata; Mammalia; Artiodactyla; Bovidae. The record is from Ensembl.
UCCCAGAAGUCAGCCUAACAGAGAUAUUAAGGCACAUGAUGGAUGGAAGCAGAGUUCCUUCUUUCCCCUUCAUGCAGUCUGACUAUUUGGAUGAGAUGGGCAUGAGGGCUCACUGUGUCACACCCCGAACACUGCUAUCCUCUCCACGGUUCCUCCUCUAAUACCUUACUUACUAUUUCUCACCCCAGCGGCUCCCUCCUGUCCUCCACGUUUUCUUACCAUUCCAAUCAUAAAUCUGCUAGUGUUCUCAGGCUUCACCCACCGCUAGCCUCUCUUUCCACCCAGGCUGCUGUCCAUCCUUUCUCCUGCUUUGUUUCUUCUCCAUUCUACCUACGGCCUGUUGACUGCCCCCCCACCAUCUUGUCACUUUCCUUCAGUCUGCCUACUCUCUUCACACGUCCUGCUGACCACUAUCCCACCGUCAUACGCCCCUAUCAACGCUGAAAGCUCAGCUUCUCUGUACACCAGUGCCAAAUCAAAUCUCAGAGACAGAGUUUUGGGUGAAGUUCAGUUCAGUUCAGUCACUCAGUUGUGUCUAACUCUUUGCGACCCCAAAGACUGUAGCACGCCAGGCCUCCCUGUCCAUCACCAGGUCCUGGAGUCCACCCAAACCCAAGUCCAUCGAUCUUCCAGGAUCAGGGAUGGAACUCAUGUCCCGUGAGUUGGCAGGUAGAUUCUUAACCACUAGAGCACCAAGGAAGCCCAUGUGAACAUUCUUCAGAAGAAUGAGGUGGUGGAUUCUUUACCAACUGAGCUAUCAGGGAGUCCCAACUAAGCCUGUGGACCGCAACUCCUGAGCCUGUGCUCCAGAGCCGGGAACUGCAGCUGCUGAGCCCACACGCUGCAGCCACUGAAACCUGUGCACCUGGAGUCUGUGCUAGGCAGCAAGAGCAGCCACCGCAGUGAGAAGCCUGCACACCACGACUAGAGCGCACCUCAACGGGCCACAGCUAGAGAAAGCCCGAGCACAGCGACGAAGACCAAGUAAAGCCACAAACAAAUAAAAGACUUCUCUGGCCCUGUGUCCCAACACCUUGAUGGCAACCUCACAACAGACAAUGAGCCUCAUCUGGCUAAGCUGCUCCUGAAUUCCUGACCGACAGAAAUGAGGAAAUAAAAAGCAUUUACUGCUGUAAGCCAGCAAGGUUGUUUCGGGAUAAUUUGUGACAGAGCAAUAGAAAAC